This 467-nucleotide long non-coding RNA is filed under the name Brassica napus (rape). RNAcentral's name for it is "long non-coding RNA (BNAP_LNC012597)". Lineage: Eukaryota; Viridiplantae; Streptophyta; Magnoliopsida; Brassicales; Brassicaceae. The record is from RNAcentral.
UUACUUUUAUCUAUAUAUCAAACGAAUGGUGGAGAAGAGUUGUCAGCACUAUCUAUUUAAUUUCAUAUCUUUCUUUUUCUUCUUUCCAAUAUUUCUCUCUUUUCUUUUUAGAUGUACUUUCUUGUGCAAAAGAACCACCGUGAAACUCUUGGUUCCACCGUAACUGCUGCAAAUCCUUGCACCACCACUGUCCGUACAUCUUUCACCGCUGCUACCGCAACUCCUUCGCCGCUGCUACCGCAACUCCUUCACCGCUGCUACCCCCAACUUCUUCACUGCUACUGCCGUAACUCCUUCACCGCUGCUACCCCCAACUUCUUCACCGCUGCUGCCGCAACUCCUUGCACCGCCACGCCUCUUUCUUUGCAUCCAACCACCGCAACUCCUUGCACGACCACCGCUACAACUCUGUCUACCACUACUUCAAUUCCGCUCACUUCUCAUCCGCUACCACCACCGUUGCAUCA